GCGUGUGUGAUGAAGGCCUUAGGGUUGUAAAGCACUUUCACUGGUGAAGAUGAUGACGGUAACCAGAGAAGAAGCCCCGGCUAACUUCGUGCCAGCAGCCGCGGUAAUACGAAGGGGGCGAGCGUUGUUCGGAAUUACUGGGCGUAAAGGGAGCGCAGGCGGUUCAUUCAGUUAGGCGUGAAAGCCCCGGGCUCAACCUGGGAACUGCGCUUAAUACUGAUGAGCUAGAAAACAGGAGAGGGUAGUGGAAUUUCCAGUGUAGAGGUGAAAUUCGU
This 275-nucleotide ribosomal RNA is filed under the name uncultured bacterium. Its description in RNAcentral is "partial 16S ribosomal RNA". It matches the Rfam family "Bacterial small subunit ribosomal RNA", at positions 399 to 691 of the family's 1533-position model. The record is from RNAcentral.